CCGACGCCGAAGCGGCGGCCGGGACCGUUCAUCACGGUCCCGGCCGCCGCUUCGGCCGUCGUGUCGGGUACUACACCCGGGCGUCGGU
This 88-nucleotide transfer RNA is filed under the name Kitasatospora griseola. RNAcentral's name for it is "tRNA-Met". The record is from RNAcentral. Lineage: Bacteria; Bacillati; Actinomycetota; Actinomycetes; Kitasatosporales; Streptomycetaceae.